GACGAACGCUGGCGGCGUGCUUAACACAUGCAAGUCGAACGGAAAGGCCCUGCUUUUGUGGGGUGCUCGAGUGGCGAACGGGUGAGUAACACGUGAGUAACCUGCCCUUGACUUUGGGAUAACUUCAGGAAACUGGGGCUAAUACCGGAUAGGAGCUCCUGCUGCAUGGUGGGGGUUGGAAAGUUUCGGCGGUUGGGGAUGGACUCGAGGCUUAUCAGCUUGUUGGUGGGGUAGUGGCUUACCAAGGCUUUGACGGGUAGCCGGCCUGAGAGGGUGACCGGCCACAUUGGGACUGAGAUACGGCCCAGAAUGCUACGGGAGGCAGCAGUGGGGAAUAUUGCAGAAUGGGCGGAAGCCUGAUGCAGCAACGCCGCGUGCGGGAUGACGGCCUUCGGGUUGUAAACCGCUUUCGCCUGUGCCGAAGCGGGAGUGACGGUAAUGGGUAAAGAAGCACCGGCUAACUACGUG
This 468-nucleotide ribosomal RNA is filed under the name uncultured bacterium. RNAcentral's name for it is "partial 16S ribosomal RNA". It matches the Rfam family "Bacterial small subunit ribosomal RNA", at positions 28 to 507 of the family's 1533-position model. The record is from RNAcentral.